GGGGUCCGGGCUUGCUCUUGAUUAGCGGCGGACGGGUGAGUAAUGCCUAGGAAUCUGCCUGGUAGUGGGGGACAACGUUUCGAAAGGAACGCUAAUACCGCAUACGUCCUACGGGAGAAAGCAGGGGACCUUCGGGCCUUGCGCUAUCAGAUGAGCCUAGGUCGGAUUAGCUAGUUGGUGGGGUAAUGGCUCACCAAGGCGACGAUCCGUAACUGGUCUGAGAGGAUGAUCAGUCACACUGGAACUGAGACACGGUCCAGACUCCUACGGGAGGCAGCAGUGGGGAAUAUUGGACAAUGGGCGAAAGCCUGAUCCAGCCAUGCCGCGUGUGUGAAGAAGGUCUUCGGAUUGUAAAGCACUUUAAGUUGGGAGGAAGGGCAGUAAGUUAAUACCUUGCUGUUUUGACGUUACCGACAGAAUAAGCACCGGCUAACUCUGUGCCAGCAGCCGCGGUAAUACAGAGGGUGCAAGCGUUAAUCGGAAUUACUGGGCGUAAAGCGCGCGUAGGUGGUUCGUUAAGUUGGAUGUGAAAGCCCCGGGCUCAACCUGGGAACUGCAUCCAAAACUGGCGAGCUAGAGUACGGUAGAGGGUGGUGGAAUUUCUUGUGUAGCGGUGAAAUGCGUAGAUAUAGGAAGGAUUAUCUUUGUUUAAUGCUAUUACUUGUUUUGAUAUUUUCUUUUUUGUGUUAUUAUCAUGUUUAUCAUUCUUGAUUAUUUACUCUUGUUAGUCUCCUUCCUUAUAUUUUUUCUAUUUUUUCCUUUUUUAUAUUCUUUUAUAUCUAUA
Molecule: ribosomal RNA, 784 nt
Filed under: Pseudomonas monteilii
Lineage: Bacteria; Pseudomonadati; Pseudomonadota; Gammaproteobacteria; Pseudomonadales; Pseudomonadaceae
Description: bacterial SSU rRNA
Rfam family: Bacterial small subunit ribosomal RNA
Source: RNAcentral